AAUGGGGGAAACCCUGACCAAGCAACGCCGCGUGGGUGAUGAAGUCUCUUGGGACGUAAAACCCUUUCGACGGGGAAGAAAACCGCAAGGUUUGACGGUACCCGUAGAAGAAGCCCCGGCUAACUCCGUGCCAGCAGCCGCGGUAAUACGGGGGGGCGAGCGUUGUUCGGAAUUACUGGGCGUAAAGGGCGCGUAGGCGGUUCGCUAAGUUGGAUGUGAAAACCCUGGGCUCAACCCAGAGCCUGCAUCCAAAACUGGCGGGCUAGAGUUCUGGAGGGGGUAGCGGAAUUCCUGGUGUAGCGGUGAAAUGCGUAGAUAUCAGGAGGAACACCGGUGGCGAAGGCGGCUACCUGGACAGAAACUGACGCUGAGGCGCGAAAGCUAGGGGAGCAAACAGGAUUAGAUACCCUGGUAGUCCUAGCCCUAAACGAUGGAUACUUGGUGUGACUGGGAUUGAAUCCAGUCGUGCCGAAGCUAACGCAUUAAGUAUCCCGCCUGGGGAGUACGGUCGCAAGGCUG
Molecule: ribosomal RNA, 519 nt
Filed under: uncultured Acidobacteriota bacterium
Lineage: Bacteria; Pseudomonadati; Acidobacteriota
Description: bacterial SSU rRNA
Rfam family: Bacterial small subunit ribosomal RNA
Source: RNAcentral